GAUGAAGAACGUAGCGAAAUGCGAUAAGUAGUGUGAAUUGCAGAAUUCAGUGAAUCAUCGAAUCUUUGAACGCUCAUUGCGCCCCUUGGUAUUCCAUGGGGCAUGCCUGUUCGAGCGUCAUUUGUACCUUCAAGCUUUGCUUGGUGUUGGGUGUUUGUCUCGCCUUUGCGUGUAGACUCGCCUUAAAAUAAUUGGCAGCCGGCGUAUUGAUUUCGGAGCGCAGUACAUCUCGCGCUUUGCACUCAUAACGACAGCGUCCAAAAGUACAUUUUACACUCUUGACCUCGGAUCAGGUAGGGAUACCCGCUGAACUUAAGCAUAUCAAAAGCGGAGGA
RNAcentral lists this unclassified non-coding RNA (335 nucleotides) under soil metagenome. RNAcentral describes it as "partial contains 5.8S ribosomal RNA, internal transcribed spacer 2, and large subunit ribosomal RNA". The stretch from base 1 to 120 matches the Rfam family "5.8S ribosomal RNA", at positions 35 to 154 of the family's 154-position model. The record is from RNAcentral.